RNAcentral lists this long non-coding RNA (484 nucleotides) under Homo sapiens (human). RNAcentral describes it as "HSALNT0329084". Lineage: Eukaryota; Metazoa; Chordata; Mammalia; Primates; Hominidae. The record is from RNAcentral.
GGACGUCCUGGUUUCCUAACUGCUCCCACAAAUGCCCUCUGUACCCUGCUGGGUUCCAUCUGGCCACACUCCAGUGCCUCUCCCAGAGGAAGGCAUGCCAAAUUCCUGACACGUGGCGUUUGAAAAUACCAUGGAACGUUUCCACUCGUGGAUUUCACCAUGUUCUCCAGUGAAUAUUUUAGCAAGCUAAAAAUGUGACUCCUCGGUCAUGAGAACACUAAGUCCAUAUGAUUCGAAAAGAGCAAUAAUGCUGGAACUUUGAUCCAAUUAUCAGCAAGUCCUCUUCCAGGAGAUUAAAUGUCUUAUAGUAUUUUAUAAUUUGCUUAGCAGGUAUUUAUCCUUUAGUGAAAACCAAUGGUCUUAGAAGAGAGCAGCAAAAGAUGCUGACAAAUCAUUUAAAUGGCUAAGUGGUCAUUCUUGCUGGCCUAAUAAAAGUCCAUUUCUAGGAAGACGAAACCUCAGCUUCUUAUAAAUCAUCAAUUAU